RNAcentral lists this ribosomal RNA (468 nucleotides) under uncultured bacterium. RNAcentral describes it as "partial 16S ribosomal RNA". It matches the Rfam family "Bacterial small subunit ribosomal RNA", at positions 36 to 507 of the family's 1533-position model. The record is from RNAcentral.
UCCUCCCUCUGGCGGCGUGCUUAACACAUGCAAGUCGAACGGAAAGGCCCUGCUUUUGUGGGGUGCUCGAGUGGCGAACGGGUGAGUAACAAGUGAGUAACCUGCCCUUGACUUUGGGAUAACUUCAGGAAACUGGGGCUAAUACCGGAUAGGAGCUCCUGCUGCAUGGUGGGGGUUGGAAAGUUUCGGCGGUUGGGGAUGGACUCGCGGCUUAUCAGCUUGUUGGUGGGGUAGUGGCUUACCAAGGCUUUGACGGGUAGCCGGCCUGAGAGGGUGACCGGCCACAUUGGGACUGAGAUACGGCCCAGACUCCUACGGGAGGCAGCAGUGGGGAAUAUUGCACAAUGGGCGGAAGCCUGAUGCAGCAACGCCGCGUGCGGGAUGACGGCCUUCGGGUUGUAAACCGCUUUCGCCUGUGACGAAGCGUGAGUGACGGUAAUGGGUAAAGAAGCACCGGCUAACUACGUG